RNAcentral lists this transfer RNA (72 nucleotides) under Perkinsus olseni. Its description in RNAcentral is "tRNA-Leu". Lineage: Eukaryota; Perkinsozoa; Perkinsida; Perkinsidae. The record is from RNAcentral.
GGCUGUGUGGUCUAGUGGUAUGAUUCUUGCUUCAGGUGUGAAAGGUCUCGUGUUCGAGUUUCAACUCAGCCC